AUCCAGCUGAUGAGUUCCAAAUUGGACUAAAGGCGUGUCCUGGAU
Molecule: non-coding RNA, 45 nt
Filed under: Schistosoma mattheei
Lineage: Eukaryota; Metazoa; Platyhelminthes; Trematoda; Strigeidida; Schistosomatidae
Source: RNAcentral